Long non-coding RNA from Phascolarctos cinereus (koala), 1922 nucleotides. The record is from Ensembl. Lineage: Eukaryota; Metazoa; Chordata; Mammalia; Diprotodontia; Phascolarctidae.
GAUGGAUUGGGGGGAAGGGAGAAGCAGACGGAGUGACUGGAAACAUUUUUUUCCCCCUGUUAAAAGAACUCUGCCUGGAAAUUAACAUGCAAGAAAUUCAGGAUGAUUUAUACACACCUAAGACAUCAUCAUUUAUGUAAAUGGCUCUUCCCAGUCCUCUUAGGCACAAUUACUCCCGAAAGUUGCUUAUUUUCAAAGAAAGGAAUGCGGCAGGACCAUCUGAUGGUCUCGCCUUGAGACUGCUCUGCAAUAAUAUUAAGGAAAAAUCAACCACGCCUCUUAGGAAAAGGGAAUCUAGGCUCUGGCCCUGGACCCAAGUUAAGGAUCCAGUUUUCUCUGGUACAGAGUUUCCUUUCAGUCCGUCAGAGGCUAUCCUCCCCAAAGGAAUCCAACAAAGGGUGUUUUUGAGGAGCAUUGUGGGAAUUUCCUAAGACAUGGGCUGGACGGCAGUGACAUUAAGUUCUCUGUCUCUGCCUGAGAGGCGCAGCUCUCAGUAAUUCUGAGUAACCAGGGAAGACGCAGCUGAACCAAAGCUGGAGAGUGUUUUACAUAGUCCUAUAGGAGAAGAAAAGAACGAUGCUCUAAAAUGUCUACACACAACAAGGCCAAAGUUUUCUUAAUAUCUUUGAGUAUGGUCGCUUUUGUGGUUAUGGUGGUGAUGAAUGGUGCGGCAGGUUCUGGAGCAUUCAAAGGUAUAUUCCAGAGAACUGUUGGAAACAUCUCCAACAAGUAUAACACUGACUUGACCCCAGCUGGCUGGACCUUCUUCAUUUGGAAUGUCAUCUAUUUGUGGCAGUUAGCUUGGCUUGGCUAUGCUCUAUCUGGAAUCUGCAGAAGGAAUGAACUUGGAUGGUUCUACGCGAAACCAGAUGUCUUGCCAAUUCUGUUUUACGUGGUGUGGAUCCUGAAUAACGCCUUGAAUGUUGGGUGGCUGUUUCUAUGGGACAAAGAAUACCUCAGCCCUGCUCUGCUUAUCCUCACAGGGCUCACAGGUUCCAAUUAUGUGAUUCUCUCCUUGGCCUGUCGAGGACUCCAUUCCCAUAGAACCUGGCUUCAGAAUCACCAUAGGACUGACCUGUGGCUCCUCCGCAUUCUGGUGCAGAAUGGGAUUGCACUUUAUGCCACAUGGACCACAGUGGCAACACUAUUGAAUUUUGCAGUUGUGUUGAUAUACAGCAUGGGAGUGGCCAACCAGACUUCCACUACUAUUGGCCUGUCUAUUCUUCUCAUGCUGCUGGUGGUCUGGUUCUACCUGGAAAACUUCCUCCUGGAUAAAUAUGUGCAUUACAUCCUCACUGUAUACCCGGUGGUCAUGGUCGCAUUGUCUGGCAAUAUUGCUCAGCACUAUAAUACAUCUGCUCCAAGCAGAAACAACAUCUUCGCAGUUGUCCUGAUGGUUGCGACAAGUGUGAUGUUUUUGGUUCGGCUUGGCCUGGUUACCUGCAGGCAUCGCUAUCAGCCGCUUACUGUGAGUGAGUCAUUGUUUUCAGAGCCGGUAAAGCUAGGAAAGAACCUCAGAGAUGCUGAAGAUGACCUUAGGAAAAGAAGCUACAGAUCUCAGGAGAUGGAGCCAGAACACCUUGCUGUGAAGUCAUUCUAAUUAUGGGCAAGACCAUUGAGCAUCAGGGCUUUGCCUCAUGCCAAAACAGCUGUGGAAUAUGGAUGAAUGAAACGCAUUUAUUCAGCAUUUACUAAGUGCUAACCAUUAGGUUAAUUGUUAGGGAUACAAAUACAGAAGUGAGACCUCAUCUUUGUCUUCAAAGGGCUUUUUAGGGGAAAACAAAGCAUAUGGUGGCCUAGGAAUAAUAUUUUGGCCUGGGAAGUAGCAGGAAUGGCAUAUGGAGCCCUAGAGGAAUCAAAUAAUUACUUUUUUUUAAAAAAUUUCUCUUAAAAUAAAUAAACGUUUAUUUUCCUUUUUCCCA